AAAGGGGAUGCUUCAUAUCCUGGAUGGUCCAGACCAGGGUGGUGUGCAGUUUCACCAUGCCACUUGGAAUGGCAUGUAGUUUAAAAGUUAUGAACUGUUUCUUUAAGACAUUUUCCCCAAAUGUUUCCAUACUGCCCUUGACCACAGGACAACUGAAACCACAGACAGGGAAAUAACAGGUAAGGAGAACUGAUGCUGAACCUCGAGUUUCAGCUUAUUUUUCUUUUUCAGUCUGGUGUCGUUCUCCCCACCCCCACCCCCGUUAUUCAGACUGAGUAACUUCCCUCAGUCUGUCUUCAAGUUUAAAGAUUCCGGUCACCCAUAUGAGGUUUUGAGAACAACUGAAAUCAGGAAUCUGGCUUUCCACAAGUGUCAAUGGCUGGCUCUUUUCCUCUUGUUCGUAUUCAUGCAGAAGAAAAAAGCAGGAUGUUGGAGGAGGAUUUGUUGACUGACAAUGGUCACUACAGGACAGAGCAGGACUGCAGAUAGUAGACAGCUUUCUCCCAAGCAGCAACUGUUGAGCAUUGCCAAGCAGCUGGGAAUGAUGGCAGAACUGACUUUGGUUAGAUGGCCUUGAGGACCUCAAGGGUGCUGACACAGCCCUACUUACCUACUCCCCACAUCUCUGUGGGGUCCCUUAAAUGCUGGUAUCCCCUUUCCUUUGUGUUAGGAUCCUAGGACCUUUAUGCAUGGACUUCCAUUUCUAUGAGAUUUUGAGAAAACAGCAGAAAAGCAAUGCACACAGCUAAGUCAGUUGCCAUUCAAGAAUUUGUUUCCAGCUCCCAGGUAUUGCUGGUGUUUCCCCCUUCUUUUUUGACCAUGCUUAUAAUUUCAUGUGUGUGCAAAAGCACACACUCAUCCCUCCAUAUUUUGGGGGAAUGGUUACAGGACCACUCCCCCAGAUACCCAAACCCAAGAAGGCAUAAGCCUUUUUAUAAAAUGGCAUAUAAAUUUGUGUGUGUGUGUGUGUGUGUGUGUGUGUGAACAUGCACACUCAUGUAUAUCCUCCCAUAGACUUUAAGUUAGCUCUAGACUCCUUGCAAUAUCCAAUACAAUGUAAUUACUGUGUAACUGAUUGCUGUAG
This 1084-nucleotide long non-coding RNA is filed under the name Cricetulus griseus (Chinese hamster). RNAcentral describes it as "lncRNA (ENSCGRG00015033418.1)". The record is from RNAcentral. Lineage: Eukaryota; Metazoa; Chordata; Mammalia; Rodentia; Cricetidae.